This 209-nucleotide unclassified non-coding RNA is filed under the name Hevea brasiliensis (rubber tree). Lineage: Eukaryota; Viridiplantae; Streptophyta; Magnoliopsida; Malpighiales; Euphorbiaceae. The record is from RNAcentral.
UGAGAAGCACGAUGUGCGCAAUAACUUUGCUACGUGAAAAUAUGACCGUUGGAUUGACAUAAAUCAAAUCUUGGACUUUGAUAUGUAAUAGGGAAUAGUUUAGUUAGUCAACGACGAAUGUGAAAGAACAAAAAAUUAUGGUGAUACGUGAAGCAUGGGAUCAUGAACUGUCUUGCUCAAUAUAUUCCCCUUUUUUUCUGUUGAUGAAG